AUGAAUUGCUGCCAAGUGUUUUAAUUUUCCUCAGAAUUUCUUUGUAAUGUUAUUGAGGGUUGGAGGUCCUUUUACAAAUUUUGGAAAUAAGUAAAUCAAAUGAGAAGACCAUGCUUCCAAACAAUCAUCCUGUUUAACAGAUCCCCUUGAUUUAAUGCAAUUAUGAAUGUGUUAGUGGUAGUGUAGUUUAAGAUCUUCCCCUUGAAUCUACAGGCUUUAAAGAAACGAACCUAGGAGUGUAUUUCCUAUCAAGCAAAUGGGUUCUGAGACUUUACGCUUUACACGUCAUUGGUUAUAGCGCUCUGCUUUUCCCGUGCUAGGCAAUGGAUCACUUGGAGUCCUUUAUUGCGGAAUGUGAUCGGAGAACUGAGCUCGCCAAGAAGCGGCUGGCAGAAACACAGGAGGAAAUCAGUGCGGAAGUUUCUGCAAAGGCAGAAAAAGUACAUGAGUUAAAUGAAGAAAUAGGAAAACUCCUUGCUAAAGCCGAACAGCUAGGGGCUGAAGGUAAUGUGGAUGAAUCCCAGAAGAUUCUUAUGGAAGUGGAAAAAGUUCGUGCAAAGAAAAAAGAAGCCGAGGAAGAAUACAGAAAUUCCAUGCCUGCAUCCAGUUUUCAGCAGCAAAAGCUGCGUGUCUGCGAGGUCUGUUCAGCCUACCUUGGUCUCCAUGACAAUGACCGUCGCUUGGCAGACCACUUCGGUGGCAAGUUACACUUGGGGUUCAUUCAGAUACGAGAGAAGCUUGAUCAGUUGAGGAAAACUGUUGCUGAAAAGCAGGAGAAGAGAAAUCAGGAUCGCUUGAGGAGGAGAGAGGAGAGGGAACGGGAGGAGCGUCUGAGCAGGAGGUCGGGAUCAAGAACCAGAGAUCGCAGGAGGUCACGCUCCCGGGAUCGGCGUCGGAGGCGGUCAAGAUCUACCUCCCGAGAGCGACGGAAGUUGUCCCGGUCCCGGUCCCGAGAUAGACAUCGGCGCCACCGCAGCCGUUCCCGGAGCCACAGCCGGGGACAUCG
Molecule: small RNA, 1006 nt
Filed under: Pongo abelii (Sumatran orangutan)
Lineage: Eukaryota; Metazoa; Chordata; Mammalia; Primates; Hominidae
Description: retained intron
Source: RNAcentral